ACGAACGCUGGCGGCAUGCCUAACACAUGCAAGUCGAACGAGACCUUCGGGUCUAGUGGCGCACGGGUGCGUAACGCGUGGGAACCUGCCCUUAGGUUCGGAAUAACUCCCCGGAAGGGGUGCUAAUACCGGAUAAUGUCUUCGGACCAAAGAUUUAUCGCCUUUGGAUGGGCCCGCGUUGGAUUAGCUAGUUGGUAGGGUAAAAGCCUACCAAGGCGACGAUCCAUAGCUGGUCUGAGAGGAUGAUCAGCCACACUGGGACUGAGACACGGCCCAGACUCCUACGGGAGGCAGCAGUGGGGAAUAUUGGACAAUGGGCGAAAGCCUGAUCCAGCAAUGCCGCGUGAGUGAUGAAGGCCUUAGGGUUGUAAAGCUCUUUUACCCGGGAUGAUAAUGACAGUACCGGGAGAAUAAGCUCCGGCUAACUCCGUG
This 432-nucleotide ribosomal RNA is filed under the name uncultured bacterium. Its description in RNAcentral is "partial 16S ribosomal RNA". It matches the Rfam family "Bacterial small subunit ribosomal RNA", at positions 29 to 507 of the family's 1533-position model. The record is from RNAcentral.